AGACCUGCUGCCAGCCUAUGCCUAAGGCUUGGCCAUGCCUUGGCCAAGCCUUUGGCCCUACAUGGGCCAUGAACACCCCAUGCCUUAGCCACCCUUGGGCACACUAGAAAGGCUAUAAAUGAGCCUUGGGGGGGAUCAUUUUGGGGAUCUUAUGAUAUAUCUUACAUCUUAGCACUUGUUGUGUUUUCGACCUUAGUGGCUUGGGAGGGACCUUGUCUCUUGUAUUCGGUCUUGGGGUUUGUCCAAGACUUGGGCUAGGGGAAACCCAUCAUAGUUUCCUCUAGAUAUUUUGUGUAAGCUUCAUUUUGGGAAAUAGAAACAAUCAAGCGUUCCUCUACCUAUAUCUCCACAUAUCUUCUUGUGUUUGAUUGUCUUCUUCUCAAGUCAAGGGUCGGGUCAAGCUGCAGCCAGUAGGCCCUCCCCUUGCCUUGGUUCCCACGGUCACUUAAGAGCUUGGCGCAACGCGGCACAAGCACGAACCAUCACGGCGUUACCCGAUCGGCCCAUUUCUUACAACUCUAAGUCAUUCGCAAGGAAGCGAUCGUGCAAGACUUGGUGUGGUGGCUUGGGGCCGAAAGCCACCCUCCAACAAUGGUGCUUUCAUUGAGAGAUUUCAUCGAGAGAAUUUCCUAGAGAAGCUCCGUCGAAGAUCUCUCGUCCUAAGAGGUAACGCCUACAACCCUAACAAAAUUUCAAAUUCUAUAGUGGGUUGGGUUAAGUUGUUUAACAUAUCGUUGCAUGCCUAGUAGUGAAGUUUACUUACUACCUUCAUAUUUUUUGUUGCAUGUGAUUGGGGGUACAUUAGAAGUUUAUUAUGCAUGCAUCGGGUACUUAAAUUUUAGCAACUUAUCAUUCUUAUUUGCAAAAGAGGAGUGAGCAUUUUUUUGUGAAAGAGAACGGAUUGAUCUCUACCUUGCUCAUCAUAGGGAUGGUGCUAAUGGAGAGGCUAAUGGUAGUACCCGGCACUAUUUGACCCAACUAUUCGGUGUAGGGUACAUUAGGGACGGCACAAGAGGGAGGCUAGUGGUAGUACCUCGUGCCCUUUCCCAACUACAUCGGGUAGGGAGCAAAUCGAGUUUCAAAACGUCUCUCUUGGGAGAAAGAGAGAGUUUUAAUUGUUGUAAAUCUUUGUUGUAAUCGGAGGCGAUCGAGUGGUGUAUCUUUUGAAUAUAUAAGAAGGAGGGUCGGUUCAUCCCUUGGGUGACGGCCAAAGGAGGUUAGGAGUGAUGAUGAGGGAUGAGAAUGCACGGCUUGAGGCCUUAGAGGGGAGUUCUCAACACCUAAAUCAAACCCUUGAAAGUC
Molecule: long non-coding RNA, 1302 nt
Filed under: Phoenix dactylifera (date palm)
Lineage: Eukaryota; Viridiplantae; Streptophyta; Magnoliopsida; Arecales; Arecaceae
Description: long non-coding RNA (PDAC_LNC012469)
Source: RNAcentral